UACAGAGGGUGCGAGCGUUAAUCGGAAUUACUGGGCGUAAAGGGCGCGUAGGUGGAUAGGUGAGUGAGAUGUGAAAGACCCGAGCUUAACUUGGGGAUGUCAUCUCAUACUGCCUGUCUAGAGUAUGGGAGAGGGAAGUGGAAUUUCUGGUGUAGCGGUGAAAUGCGUAGAUAUCAGAAGGAACAUCCGUGGCGAAGGCGACUUCCUGGCCCAAUACUGACACUGAGGCGCGAAAGCGUGGGGAGCAAACAGG
RNAcentral lists this ribosomal RNA (253 nucleotides) under uncultured bacterium. RNAcentral describes it as "partial 16S ribosomal RNA". It matches the Rfam family "Bacterial small subunit ribosomal RNA", at positions 524 to 776 of the family's 1533-position model. The record is from RNAcentral.